Molecule: long non-coding RNA, 514 nt
Filed under: Rattus norvegicus (Norway rat)
Lineage: Eukaryota; Metazoa; Chordata; Mammalia; Rodentia; Muridae
Description: long non-coding RNA NONRATT024770
Source: RNAcentral
UUACCUCUUGACUUCACGGCAGAUGCUAUUUUCCUUCUUAUGAGGAACUGAUGAGUCUGCUUUUAAAAUGAGCUGGAGAAAAUUCCAAACAUGACCUGUAGUGGACAGACUACAAGGAAUCACCCACCACAUCACAGUAAUGUCCCUCGAUCCCUGACUGCCCCCUCUAAGGCUAUGCUGGUUCACCAUGGCUUCUCUUUCUUAUCUUCUUAAAUCUAUUCGUGCAUAUGAGAAAGAGGAAGAGGGGUGAAAGUCAAAGGACAAGAUGGAGGCCAGCCUGAUCUACAUAGCAAAGCCUUGUCUCAACACCCACCCUCUAAGGUUGUUUGAACCAAAUCCCUGCCGCUGACUGUAUAAGAUAGGAAUAAUUCCUACAUGUGUAGAUGCCAUUUUUCAUUUGUUGAAAUAUCUAAAGAUCUUGCUAGAAGUAGAAGUGUGCUAAAUGCUCUUGACAUAGUAGGUGUCUUAGGAUUUCACUUCUGACCGCAUCACCGUUAGAUUAAAAAAAAAAAAA